Molecule: ribosomal RNA, 254 nt
Filed under: uncultured bacterium
Lineage: Bacteria
Description: partial 16S ribosomal RNA
Rfam family: Bacterial small subunit ribosomal RNA
Source: RNAcentral
UACGAAGGGGGCUAGCGUUGUUCGGAAUCACUGGGCGUAAAGCGCACGCAGGCGGAUCGUUAAGUCAGGGGUGAAAUCCCGAGGCUCAACCUCGGAACUGCCUUUGAUACUGGCGAUCUUUGAGUCAGGGAGAGGUGAGUGGAACUCCGAGUGUAGAGGUGAAAUUCGUAGAUAUUCGGAAGAACACCAGUGGCGAAGGCGGCUCACUGGCCCGGUACUGACGCUCAUGUGCGAAAGCGUGGGGAGCAAACAGG